This 253-nucleotide ribosomal RNA is filed under the name uncultured bacterium. RNAcentral's name for it is "partial 16S ribosomal RNA". It matches the Rfam family "Bacterial small subunit ribosomal RNA", at positions 524 to 776 of the family's 1533-position model. The record is from RNAcentral.
UACGUAGGGGGCAAGCGUUGUCCGGAUUCAUUGGGCGUAAAGAGCGUGUAGGCGGCCAGGUAGGUCGGGUGUGAAAACUGGAGGCUCAACCUUCAGAGGUCGACCGAAACCAUCUGGCUAGAGUCCGGGAGAGGAGAGUGGAAUUCCUGGUGUAGCGGUGAAAUGCGCAGAUAUCAGGAAGAACACCCGUGGCGAAAGCGGCUCUCUGGAACGGUACUGACGCUGAGACGCGAAAGCGUGGGGAGCGAACAGG